Molecule: ribosomal RNA, 583 nt
Filed under: uncultured bacterium
Lineage: Bacteria
Description: partial 16S ribosomal RNA
Rfam family: Bacterial small subunit ribosomal RNA
Source: RNAcentral
UGGGGAAUUUUGGACAAUGGGCGAAAGCCUGAUCCAGCAAUGCCGCGUGUGUGAAGAAGGCCUUCGGGUUGUAAAGCACUUUUGUCCGGAAAGAAAUCCUUGGCUCUAAUACAGUCGGGGGGAUGACGGUACCGGAAGAAUAAGCACCGGCUAACUACGUGCCAGCAGCCGCGGUAAUACGUAGGGUGCAAGCGUUAAUCGGAAUUACUGGGCGUAAAGCGUGCGCAGGCGGUUUGCUAAGACCGAUGUGAAAUCCCCGGGCUCAACCUGGGAACUGCAUUGGUGACUGGCAGGCUAGAGUAUGGCAGAGGGGGGUAGAAUUCCACGUGUAGCAGUGAAAUGCGUAGAGAUGUGGAGGAAUACCGAUGGCGAAGGCAGCCCCCCUGGGCCAAUACUGACGCUCAUGCACGAAAGCGUGGGGGAGCAAACAGGAUUAGAUACCCUGGUAGUCCACGCCCUAAACGAUGUCAACUAGGUUGUUGGGGAUUCAUUUCCUUAGUAACGUAGCUAACGCGUGAAGUUGACCGCCUGGGGAGUACGGUCGCAAGAUUAAAACUCAAAUGAAUUGACGGGGUCAUAGCUG